AAGAAGACAUAUUUCAAGCGUAACUGCAUGAAUAAGACACAAAGUCAGUAAGUAAAGCUCAUAUUCUUAACAGUGUUAUUUUAACAACAAUUUUGAGUCUUACUGCAUUUUAUGUCCAAUAGGAAUUUAAUUGUCUUUCUAUACCAUGGAGUGGUGCCAAAAGAUUAUUUUAUGGAGUUAUUGAUGAAAGAUCUGGAAAAUACUCAGUGGUAUUUUUUGCAACAGGCGUGCAGCAGCCAAAAGUAAGUUCCUUGAUGGGUUUCGUUCCUUCAUGUUCUGUAUUUCCAAUUGCCUUAAGCUACGGCGGGAUGGAUGAUGAUUACAACACGUUUAAGUUGAUGUCUUCUCAUAUUCGUGUAGAAGAAUAAUAUUUGCAACAUCGUUUGUCAUUCUUGAAGAAAGAGGAAAAUAUUAGUUUUAAAAAAGGGAAAAUUUCUAGUGCUCAGAGUUAUAUGUUGAUGGGAACCACUGAUCCAACAGGGACUCUAGAAAAGAAUAAAGUUUGUGUUCUUCUGUAUGUACAA
Molecule: non-coding RNA, 524 nt
Organism: Malus domestica (apple)
Lineage: Eukaryota; Viridiplantae; Streptophyta; Magnoliopsida; Rosales; Rosaceae
Source: RefSeq, a predicted model, not a curated record